This 630-nucleotide ribosomal RNA is filed under the name Acarospora rosulata. Its description in RNAcentral is "partial large subunit ribosomal RNA". It matches the Rfam family "Eukaryotic large subunit ribosomal RNA", at positions 22 to 667 of the family's 3401-position model. The record is from RNAcentral. Lineage: Eukaryota; Fungi; Ascomycota; Lecanoromycetes; Acarosporales; Acarosporaceae.
UACCCGCUGAACUUAAGCAUAUCAAUAAGCGGAGGAAAAGAAACCAACAGGGAUUGCCUCAGUAACGGCGAGUGAAGCGGCAACAGCUCAAAUUUGAAAUCUGGCUCUUUCAGGGUCCGAGUUGUAAUUUGCAGAGGAUGCUUCGGGUUCAGCUCCGGUCUAAGUUCCUUGGAACAGGACGUCAUAGAGGGUGAGAAUCCCGUAUGUGACUGGCCGCCACGCCCGUGUGAAGCUCCUUCGACGAGUCGAGUUGUUUGGGAAUGCAGCUCAAAAUGGGUGGUAAAUUUCAUCUAAAGCUAAAUAUUGGCCAGAGACCGAUAGCGCACAAGUAGAGUGAUCGAAAGAUGAAAAGCACUUUGGAAAGAGAGUCAAACAGUACGUGAAAUUGUUGAAAGGGAAGCGCUUGCAACCAGACUUGCCCGCAGGUGAUCAGCCGGUAUUCUUACCGGUGCACUCGCCUGCGGUCAGGCCAGCAUCGGUUUGGGCGGCUGGAUAAAGUCCACCGGAAUGUAGCUCCCCUCGGGGAGUGUUAUAGCCGGAGGUGCCAUGCAGCCCGCCCGGACCGAGGACCGCGCUUCGGCUAGGAUGCUGGCGUAAUGGUUGUAAGCGACCCGUCUUGAAACACGGACC